AACGAACGCUGGCGGCAGGCCUAACACAUGCAAGUCGAACGAAACCUUCGGGUUUAGUGGCGCACGGGUGCGUAACACGUGGGAAUAUACUCUUGAGUAAGGAAUAAUGUCUGGAAACGGACACUAAUACCUUAUAAUGACUCCGGUCCAAAGAUUUAUCGCUCAAGGAUUAGCCCGCGCCUGAUUAGUUUGUUGGUGAGGUAAUGGCUCACCAAGACUACGAUCAGUAGGGGGUCUGAGAGGAUGAUCCCCCACACUGGGACUGAGACACGGCCCAG
RNAcentral lists this ribosomal RNA (278 nucleotides) under uncultured bacterium. RNAcentral describes it as "partial 16S ribosomal RNA". It matches the Rfam family "Bacterial small subunit ribosomal RNA", at positions 29 to 334 of the family's 1533-position model. The record is from RNAcentral.